UAAAAACUCAUGAUAGCUUCCAAGAUAGUUUAGCACCAAUAUUUUCUUCAAGGGUCUCAGGAAUUAUCUCACUUGUAGUUUGUGGGAAAAAAUCACAAACAGGAUGAGGUGUAUUGACUUUUCUUUUCUUAUUCAAUUGCUCAUACAUUUUUGCCUUCCCUUUUCUUUUGAAAUUCAAUCUUCAAUUUCUUCGUACAACUUCAGCAUCUGCUUUUGUAUUUACAAGAGUAGGAUUUGACUUAUGCUGAUUCAAAUACUCAGCAUCCGCUCCUGUAUUUACAAGACCAGGGAUUGAUGCAACCUGAUUUUAAUUUGGC
This 317-nucleotide long non-coding RNA is filed under the name Capsicum annuum. RNAcentral describes it as "long non-coding RNA (CANN_LNC011530)". Lineage: Eukaryota; Viridiplantae; Streptophyta; Magnoliopsida; Solanales; Solanaceae. The record is from RNAcentral.